Passer domesticus (house sparrow) is the source of this 242-nucleotide long non-coding RNA. RefSeq lists it as uncharacterized. Lineage: Eukaryota; Metazoa; Chordata; Aves; Passeriformes; Passeridae. The record is from RefSeq and is a predicted model, not a curated record. The transcript has 3 exons.
CACUUACAAGGCACAGGCAAUGUCCGAUUAUUCCCCUGCUUCAGUAUGGGGCUCCUCCUACAGAAGACAGCCUUCCAUGAGCUUCUCCAUAGGAAAACCACUGAUUGACACAUCAAAUAAGCUAAUCAAAGAAGAAAAUCUUGCCAUGUUUAAGUAGCUUGGCUGAUAUACAACUGAGGACUCUUACUUCACCUGGAGUUAGAUAAAAGCAUAUAUCAACAUACAUUCCAAAAAUCUGGUAA